UCCUCACAGAGACCACGUCAGGUCCUUAACCUGCUGAGCCACAACAGGAGCUCCAGGAUUCUCUUUUAAAUCAGUGUUCCACUUGGCAGUGAUUAGUUUUCCUUAACACCAGAUAAGUUGCAAAUCCAGUAAAAGACGCACCUAGGCUGUUUAUGAGAUUUUGAACAAGCCUCUCAGGAGCCACUGUUAGGCUCUGACCGAGACCUCCUGGCCAGGCCCCUGGAAAGCCCACGACAGUGACCCUCAACAGGCCAACUCAGUGAGAGCCCCAGGCCCACUCUGAAUAUUAAAUGCUGAUGCAGUUAGUUUCUUUGUCAGAUGAAAGUAAAUAUCAAUACAAGGCCGGAUUAUUUCUCUCCAAAGCCGUGCCGUCCUAUAAAGUCACUGUAGCACAUGUGGCCAUUUAAAUAAAACUGUGAAUUAAUUGGUGGUCAAUAAAAUUAAAAUUCAUUUCUGCAUUUUCAUGAGCCGCGUUUCAAGUGCUCAGUGGGCAGAAGCUCCUGCGCUGCACAGAGCAGCCGGAGAACGUGGCUGGCUCUCCCGGGUUGCAGUGCUCCCGCGGGCUGCCCGGUGGGCCCACGGCUUCAGAGGAGCACCAGCGAUCCUCUGGGCCUGAACCCUGGCAUGGGCCUGAGCCCGUCCAGGGUUCGGGGCUCCCCGCCAGUGCACCUUCCUGCCUUCCGACCGUCCCUCUGUCCCAUUGCUCUGUCCCAGCAGGUGCCGGGUCCUGUGGUCCCUGCUGACGUGUGAGAGCCCGCCAGGCAUCACUGUGCGCUUAGCAAUGCCUGAAAAGACCAGCGGCUUCCUUGGGUCUAAUUCUUCACAAGUCAAGCAAAACAAUAGCUCGGGCUGCCAAAGCAGAGUCAGUGGCUGCAAAUUUGAAACCGAGCUGGUGCCAGUGCUUCCCAAACUGUGUUCCGAGGGACACCAGUGUGUCGUGAUGUGCUUUCUAGUCCAAGGAUGCACAGGAACAUUCUGGGGAACCGCGCGCCUGACGGGGUCCACCGCGUGCCGUCAGGGAGCAGCUCUGUGCCUUGGCAGAGCUGGGUUCCCAUCAGCUGCUGAGAUGAGAGGCUAGAACCGGAGUGGAAGUGAGGGGGCUGUGCCCACCGUGCCUCAGACUCAGGCUGUGCGGUGACACCUCGCCGUGCUCGCCCACUGGUACGAAAGAGGGAUCAUGUAAGGAUGAAGUACUGCGUUUUAAUCUUAUUGAAGCGUCGCUGGUUCACAGUGUAGCGUCAGUUUCUGCCAUACAGCCAGGAGACUCAGUUACACACACACACAUGCCCAUUCUUCCUCGGAAUCUUUCCCCACACAGGCGAUCGCGGACUGCUGGGUCGAGUUCUCUGUGCUGCACAGCGGGCCCCCGUUGAGCACUCUCUCUUAGACCUCAGUGUGCGUAGGCCAGUCUCACACCCCAGGCCAUCCCUCCCCCACCUGUCCCCCGCGGUGACUCUAAGUUUGUUUUCCACGUCUGUGAGUCUGUUUCACUUUUUUAAGUUCAUUUGUAUCAUUUUUUUAGAUUCCACAUAGAAGUGAAAUCAUACGGUGUUUGUCUUUCAUAUUUCACGUGAAAUACCGUUUUGCAUUUCGACGUACGUGUAUUAUUUUCUCAAACAACUACCUAGUUGUGAGGAUACAACUAUGUAAGCUGUUUGGAUGCCAUCCUUAAGAAGUGGGGCUGUCAGGUAUUUCUCUGGGCCAAGGGUCACCAGGAAGAGUCACCUCAACACUGACAGGUGCCCUGAGCCUCCGAGGUUUGGGAACCUCGCCAGCAGGUUCCUCGGCAGAACAAAGGAGGUGGAACCAAGCCCCGAAAGCGCGAAAUGUCAUGCUGACUUCUUUCUGAAACGCUCCCCGUUAGUUUGCCAGGGCUGGACGGCCCGUUAAGCUUUAGCUCUCUCUCAUCCCAAAUGCAAAUACACACCUGAAAGUAUUACUAAGAAAAUCAUCUUUUUAAAGCAGAGAUCACUGCCCAUCGAACAAAGCACAUUCUCAGAACGAGGUCCAGGAGGGCUCUUCCCCAGCCCGCUGUUAGAGGCCCUCGGCCAGUCCAUUCACUAAAGACCCCUUUCACUGCAGACCGAGUAUAUCUUUUUUGUAAAAUCAGAGCUCUCGUAGAAGCCAGAGGCAGCAGAAAACUAACACUUAGGAGCAAAGUUAUAAGUGAAAAGCAAACAAAAGCAGAAAAAAAAAAAAAAAUCACCAUUCAGUGACAACUCAAUUAACAACUCCUCUGGGGAAAAUCUUCUGCGUGUAAUCGCUCUCUGAUUAAACCAGGAGGGCCGAAAACACCGCCUGGAUCACAUCUGACAGGCAGCCUGCGUUUCAUUACAGCCCAAGGACGCCGGCGGCUGGACCAACCAAAGCGGCUUUUCGCACGCCCGCCCGGCGCUGUGCGCAGCCAGAGGGAAGUGACAGCGAACGCCAGCCCAGCCCACUUUCGCGUAACCCCAGCGUUGGAGCGGGAGUUUCCUGCUUUCCUGACUCCAUCACAUUCUGCUCCAGAGCUGAUGCCUUCUUGCCAGUUCCCCCAAGGCUCUGGGCUCCCGUUUCCCCACCAGGAAAUGAAGGUAAUAAUAAUUUCGACUUCAUGGUACUUCUGUAAAAUUAAACUAACAAGUACGUGUAGAGCAGUCACAGCAAUGCUCACAGGCCUCUGUAAAUAUCGGCUGGUAUCACCAAGACGAACGGCUGGGGGUUCCCAUCCUGGCUCAGCGGAAACAAAUCUGACUAGUAUCUGUGAGGACACAGGUUCGAUGCCUGGCCUCGAUCAGCUGGCCAAGGAUCUGGUGUUGCCGUGAGCUGUGGUGUAGGUCGCAGCCUCAGCUUGGGUCCUGCAUCGCUGUGGCUGUGGUGGAGGCCGGCAGUUACAGCUCCGAUUCCACCCUGGCCUGGGAACGUCCAUAUGCCACAGGUGCAGCCCUAGAAAAGACCGGAAAAAAAAAAAAAAAAAAAGACACACGUCUGAUACAAAGCCACCGAGUCAAAUGAUGAGAGUAGUUUUUGACUUUUUUUUUUUUUUUUUUUUUUUUUUUUUUGUCUUUUGUCUUUUCAAGGCCGCACCCACAGCACAUAGAGGUUCCCAAGCUCUAGGGAUCGAAUAGGAGCUGUGGCCACCGGCCUACACCACAGCUGCAGAAACGUGGGAUCCGAGCCGCAUCUGUGACCUGCACCACAGCUCAUGGCAACGCCGAAUCCUUAACCCUCUGAGUGAGGCCAGGGAUCAAACCCGCAUCCUCAUGGAUACUAGUCGGGUUUGUUAACCACUGAGCCACAAUGGGAACUCCUGUUUUUGACUUUUGAAAUGUAUACCUAAGUUUUCCUAAGGAAAAUUUUUAGCCAAUUUACCUUCUUUUGGAAGGGGCUUGUUUGCCUGAGUAUAAUAUAUUUCAAUUUUUAGAAUUUUGCCAAUUCGAACUAUAGAUCACAGUCUUCUAUUGCACCUGCCUCCAGUUCUGGAUGUCGUUUGGUUUUCUACUGGUUUUGGUUUUUUGAGGUUGAGUAGUGUAGUAUUCUGAAGCAUUUUCUCCUGUAACUUCAACCCCCAUUUCUGAAUCUGACAGUUUGGUCUAUUCUGGGUUUUUUGGCCUUUGAUCGGGCCCUCCCCCUAUGCAAGGCCCCCCCCCCCCAACCUGCUUUCAUCUCGGAGCCUCAGCCGCAC
Molecule: long non-coding RNA, 3664 nt
Filed under: Sus scrofa (pig)
Lineage: Eukaryota; Metazoa; Chordata; Mammalia; Artiodactyla; Suidae
Description: lncRNA (ENSSSCG00040070708.1)
Source: RNAcentral